Xyrichtys novacula (pearly razorfish) is the source of this 2350-nucleotide non-coding RNA. Lineage: Eukaryota; Metazoa; Chordata; Actinopteri; Labriformes; Labridae. The record is from the annotation of a GenBank genome assembly.
CACCACUGGAGACUCUUUGGAGAGGCUCAAUUUGUAUCCUAUUAUCCUAUAAGAAAAUGUCUAUUCAGUCGAAUGAAUAGUUUCAUUGGCCUAAAUUUUAAUAAUGCUGUGAAAGAAAGGGAGAAAUAAAGAAGAAUGCAGCUGGUGUGAACGCGCAUUAUUCCCCGUCACCUGCAAGAUGGGUAGCCUGGAGACCCCUAUUCAUUUGCCUAAUUUCGGUCAACUUAACAAACUUUGGGAGAAAUUAUACUGCCAUUGUUACGAAGGGUGAAGCUUUCUGAUCGAAUUAACAGCAUGUUUUGAUCCGGUAAAUGUCAUUAGAAAGAAAGAAACAAUCGCGUUUAAAGGGGCCUGGGUAAUGCGCCAAGUGGAGACGCCAAAGCGCAAACUGCACAAAGGCUGCUAGUAAAUGCCACAGGGGACUUUUGUACCCUCACAUUGCUCAAGUUUUUACCCCCAAACAAAGGGCAUUAUUUUAUACUUGAAUACAUUUCAUACAACAAUUGGCUGUUUUCUUCAAACAUAUUUUCACAGCAAGGUUAACAACAGGUUUAUUGUGUGCGCUCCACACAGACUCAAACUGAUCUCAUGCGCCAAAACAGUUUGCUCCAAUUCUUCUGCUUUCUUUAUGUCACUGAGAACGUUUUAAUCUGGAAACUUUCUCUGUGCUGGGAUAUAUUUGAUCCUGUGAGCGAUGUCGAAGAAUAAAAAGCAGCGGAGAUUGAGAAAGAAAGGCUCACAAGACAUCUGAAGAGUUUGGAGAGUUUUUAGAGCACCAUGGAGAGAAAAGCACGAGCGAGCGGGACGGGGGCAUAAAAUCCAAUUACUUGACUGUGCAGUUUUUAACACUUUUUAUGUGUUUGUCCUUUGAAAUAUGAGGGGACUUGUGUGCUGGUGCUUUUAUUAAAAACUGAAUGAAAUACUGGAAGCUUUUACUGACCGACUUUGUAACACCAAGUGUUGCGUCAAAACGAGGCCCAACCAUGCGCAAGGAUUUACUGCACUAUGAUGUUAAAUGUAUGUUGAAUAUUUUAAUACAAGGUUCGACAACUGUACUUUUUAUAACUAGGUGUCUGAUGUGUUUAUUUGCAAUGAAAUGUUUUCCUCUCCUCUGUCGGUUUUUCACAUUAUAGUUUUUGAAAGAUUUUAAGGGUUUACACGUAAAAUGGAAACAUUCCUGUUGUGGAUUAAACUUUUUAGGUUGUUUUGUGAGUUGUGUUUAUCAUAAAUGAAUAAAAAUAUUAAUAUUUUUGAUUAAGACUAUUUUUAAUUGUUGCGAUCUUCACAGACGUGUGAUAUUGCAUUUCUGACGUUUUAUCUUUGGCUAAUUUAGAUUAAAUGACGAGAUGAUAAACUGACCCUCAUGAGAUUUUAUGUAUGGUACAGUAUUUAUUAAUACUGUGAUAAAAAAAUUACAUGAGACCCUACUGUAUUCUCAUCCUGAUGAAAGAUGAUCUCGAAAAGACUGUUGUAAAAUAAAUGUCAUUAAAGGAAACCUGAUAUUAAUACCAUUCAUGGUAACAGCAUCAUGUAUCAGGUAAUAAAUGUAUAAAAUGAGACACCAUUUAGAAGUUUGUUUUUGUAAUGUACAGAUCUCCUUUUUUUUAUACCCUGGUAGAUCACAUGUCUAAAACAUCAGAGUAAAUUCAUCCUUAAUAAAAAUCAGUUUUACGGUAAAUUUUGGUUUUAUUAGUCACUUUUCUCUCAGUUUUUGGCUGCACUUUCUGCAAAGACUGGUCCUGUUAUUAGUUAGUGACUGAUCAGGUCUUCAGUUUUAUGAUGGUCGUCUGGGCUGAACCAGAACACAGCCAGCAGCCCAUCUUAAUAAAACAAUUAACAUUUUUUCUCAUAUAGCUCAGAGUGGGAAAAAAACAAAAAAAGCAAAACCUGAGUUCAAAAUGAUUCAUUCGUUGUUAGGUCUGAUUAAGCAGUCAAGUAUUGAAGCAGUGAUAUCUACAAUUAAUAAUAGUGUCAUAAACAGGAAACACUAUCCUCCUUAUAUAAAGUAAAUAUUAAAUGCGUAUACAAGAAACUCUUAAAAUGAAAAUAUCAGAAUGGAGCGACACACUGUGCUACAUCUUUAUUUUACUGCAGUUUAAUCUUUUAUUAGUUCCUACUCAGUUUAAAAAGUGAAUUCUGAGUUUGUCUACCAACUAAUAACUUGUCAUUGCAGUAAAAAGUGGUAAUAUUUCUAUUUUUAUGUUCAUCACCAUGACAUCUGCACACUGUCUAUAAACAAACAUUAAGCAGAGCUUCAUUAGUGACACUAACCUCUGUCUCUGUUUGUGUGUGUUAUUGUGUGUGUUGUCAGGCACUGCGCUCUGACCCGUGGUGACCUCUGAGGUUCCUG